GCCUUCGUGGUGUAGUGGUCAGCACGCUCGACGCGUAACCGAGAAGUCGGUGGUUCGAUACCCGGCGAAAGCG
Molecule: non-coding RNA, 73 nt
Organism: Stegodyphus mimosarum
Lineage: Eukaryota; Metazoa; Arthropoda; Arachnida; Araneae; Eresidae
Source: Rfam